GUAAACCUGAAUUUUUUUGGCAGGUUUUUACUUUGUAUAAAAAAUUUAUUUCCGGAGUUGUGUGAGACUGAGAGAAAGCGUGUGCAAGGGGUUCUCGUUUCUUCGUUCUUUGUAUUUCUUGAGAUUAGCAUUACCUAAAAUGUAUUCACAUAUUUUUUCCUUCCCUAUUUUUUAUUGCUGUUGGUUUGUUUUGCAGUUUUUAUUUGUUUUACUUUUUUUGUAGGGG
Molecule: long non-coding RNA, 226 nt
Filed under: Mytilus galloprovincialis (Mediterranean mussel)
Lineage: Eukaryota; Metazoa; Mollusca; Bivalvia; Mytilida; Mytilidae
Source: RNAcentral